GUGAAUCAUCGAAUUUUUGAACGCAAAUUGCGCUUCCUGGUAUCCCGGGAAGUAUGCCUGUUUGAGGGUCAGUAUUAACAAAAAAUCGGUUUGGUUGCAAAUUGUGACGUUUCCGGAGUUUGGGCUUAUCUUAACUUUUUUGGUUAAGGGGCUAAAAAUUGACUUUUUUUGCGCAUUUUAAACGGACAUAAAUUUUUUUUUUUUUUGUCUUCUUUAUAC
Molecule: unclassified non-coding RNA, 219 nt
Filed under: Glomeraceae sp.
Lineage: Eukaryota; Fungi; Glomeromycota; Glomeromycetes; Glomerales; Glomeraceae
Description: partial contains 5.8S ribosomal RNA and internal transcribed spacer 2
Rfam family: 5.8S ribosomal RNA (bases 1-71)
Source: RNAcentral